UACCUUGGAGAACCAAUUACUUAAUGUCUCUUCCGUCUUUUCCUUCCCCGACCCCCUCCCAGACUCCUUCAUUCCGGUACUGCGUGGACGGAAAGCCCUGGGUAGCCGACACCACGUCCCCGGCUAGCGGGAGACAGCGUGGAAAAGGAUUGUACCAAACUGUUUAAACCCAACGGCUCCUGCUUCCGUCCUGCUCCUGAGCUAGACCCAACAAGCCUAGGGAGUUGGGCUACGGAAAGACUAGUAUUUUCAUUUAAUUGGAUAUGAAGAAAGAACAAAUAUGUACGGGGGCAACCACGAUCUUUAUAAAGAACAUAAGUUCCAGGAAAGCAGGAACCUUGUCUCUCUUGUUCACUGAUGUAUCCUGUGCAUAUAGAGCAGUGCCUGGCACAUAAUAGGUGCUGAAGGAGAAAAAAAUAAUUUACAUUCUGCUAGUCUGAAAUCCUGAUUUGAAAUGAAGAUAUGACAAGACCCAGAGAAAUGAUUUCCAUUCAGGAGAGAAUCUCUAAAUGAAAAUUCAUGGGAUGAUCAGAUUCAAUAUAUACCAUCAAAAUUCUAAUUAAGUCAUUCCCCACCCCAUAUCCAAUCACAAAUGAUUCAAUCUCCAUUUCUACCAGUUAAAUCACUUCCUCCCAAUUCUAGUAAAUCCUUUCAUAUACAAAGUUGAAAUUUUUGCUUGAAAAUGUUGGAAGCUUUUGAUGAGAAACAGGAGAAAACCCAAUGCCAGGGGUCAGAAAUUGCAUUAAAAAUAAAAUAAUAUAAAUAAUGGAAUUUGUUUUGAAAUUUAAACCUAAUUCUAUACAAAAAGUUAGUGCUUUAAUUUGUUUUGACAAGUAAGAUUUUUAAAAAGUGGCCUGGCAUCUACCAAAAAAUUCUGAUUUUAAAUGAAGACACUAAUGUUCAGCGAGGUGGUUUCCUGAAUAUAACUUCAGUGUGAAAUUUUCUUUGUUGAUGCUCCAGGUAAAUUACUGAAUAAUAUUAUAAUCUAACCAUCUCUUAUCUAAUUACAUGGUUAUUUAUACCUAAUUAGCACACCAGUCCAUUAUUACUAAGACAAUUAAGAACAAAACUUACUAAAAACAGUUAAAACUAAACAUCUAAACUAUAGAAAAUAAAAGAAUAGAAAAAGACAUGCCAGGUAAUAUAACCCCCCCAAAAAAACUUUAUGGAGCAAUAUUAAUUAUCAAAGUAUUCUUUUUAUUAAGUAACAUUAAUAGGGACAAAGAAGUGCAUCUUAUUACAUUACAAAGAAAAAUACACUAGGAAAUAGUAUGAUCAUGUAUACAAUGUAGUUGGAAAAGUGUGAAGCAAAAAGAAUUACAAGGAAAAGCUGACGAAUCUGCAAUCACGGUGGAAAUCUUUUUUUUAAACAAAUUUUUCUCAUCUUGGUAGAUCAUGCAGACUAACAAUAUUAAUCUAAUAUAUAUGUUAUAUGUGUGUGCAUAUGUGUGUAUUGUAUAUGUAUGCUUAUUGUAUUAUACAUGUGUAUAAAGUUUUAUAACCAAAACAGUACACAUUAUUUUCAAUAAACAUUGGACAU
Molecule: long non-coding RNA, 1540 nt
Organism: Sciurus carolinensis (gray squirrel)
Lineage: Eukaryota; Metazoa; Chordata; Mammalia; Rodentia; Sciuridae
Exons: 3
Source: RefSeq, a predicted model, not a curated record